GGCUCUUUGAGAUAAGAUAAUAAAGAGUCGGACCUGCCCAGUGAAAUUUUUUAACGGCCGCGGUACUCUGACCGUGCAAAGGUAGCAUAAUCAUUUGCCUUAUAAUUGAAGGCUUGUAUGAAUGGUUUGACAAGAAUAUAGCUGUCUCUAUAUAAUUUAAUAGAAUUUUAUUUUGAAGUGAGGAAGCUUGAAUUUUAUUGAUAGACAAGAAGACCCUAUCGAGCUUGAAAAAAGAUUAUAGAGGUAUUUAAUUAAUUUAAAAAAUUAUCUAUAUUAAAUUUUGGUUGGGGCGACUUAGGAACAUAAAAAGCUUCCUAGAUUAUAAAGUUAGCAAAUGUGAUCCAAAAUAUUUUGAUUAAUGAAAUUAGUUACCGUAGGGAUAACAGCAUAAUCUUUUUUGAGAGUUCUAAUCGAAAAGAAGGUUUGUGACCUCGAUGUUGGACCAGAAUUUCCUAAAGAUGCAGCAGUCUUUAAGGGUUGGUCUGUUCGACCAUUAAAAUUCUACG
This 506-nucleotide ribosomal RNA is filed under the name Aesopus cumingii. Its description in RNAcentral is "partial large subunit ribosomal RNA". It matches the Rfam family "Bacterial large subunit ribosomal RNA", at positions 1817 to 2600 of the family's 2925-position model. The record is from RNAcentral. Lineage: Eukaryota; Metazoa; Mollusca; Gastropoda; Neogastropoda; Columbellidae.